AUUCAAGAUAACGCCGAGUGAGUAAUUGCUAAUCUUCCUGAUGUGCCUGGUAACUGACAUGUAAUCGUAACCUCACCCAGGAGGAGAUGGAGCGACGUGAAGUUUAUAUCAAGUUCAUAAUCUGUCCAAAACACCUCAUCUCAUCUACUUAUGGUUUUGAAAGUCUGGCAGCGAAUUGCUUUCCCUCCUCGAGCCCCACGGACCUGUGAGGAACCUGCUGGGAGGAACCUGCUGGGGACCACCAUCAGGUAGAACCACCAUCAGAUAGACCCACCAUCACCUAGAACCACCAUCAGAUAGACCCACCAUCACAUAGAAGCACCAUCACGUAGAACCACCAUCACGUAGAACCACCAUCACGUAGAACCACCAUCAGAUAGAAGCACCAUCACAUAGAACCACCAUCAGAUAGAACCACCAUCCACAGAAGCCUGUGGGGAGCAAGAGCACUACGACUUUAGGGGAGCGUAUUGUUGGUUUACGAUGACAGUAACAGUAAUGUGAUAUUUAAAACAACAAUAAUGAGGAUGGUGGCAGCAGCAGGGGUCAGCAGGGUCACGGCAGGAGGCAGGAACAGGGUCCAGAUUGAACCAAGAUUCAUGGAAACCUGUGAGGUGAGAAAGCACAAAUACUUGGAAGAAACAAAGUUAGUGAUGCGCAGUAAAGUUUACAGUAAUAGAAAUGGGAAUAUUAAUAGUGUUAGAAGUGAUAGUUUAUCAAGAAAGCUUACUUAUCAAAAUGGAUCAACUUCAUUUGACAAUUCUUGCUGAUGGAUUUUAUUGGCUGCGGAACAGGAGCUCUGAAGGAAAUUGCAUAAACAUUUCCGCCGUGGAUUUUCUGGUGUAAAUAAAGUUGAAGGUUUUAAAUCUGGCAACUUGUAACAAGUUUUGUGAGCAAACAAUUACAGUUCAGCUUAUUGAAAUGUCUCUUUCAUGCCUGCAAUAUUUUCCUAACCUUAAUCUCAAUGAACGUAUACCUGCGAAUGCAAACAAUAGCGGUUUGUUUCUUAAAGAUGCUGAUCUUGACGGAUUGAUUGAAAAGGAAAAGACCCUCUCAUUGUGUUUGCCCACAGCGUUUCCCCUCAGCUUUCCUCUUCGCGCUCCCAGUCCCACCUGGAGCGCCGCUGACGGAUAGAUGCAUUGACAGGAGACCCCCGCCAGGCUCCUUAAACACCCAUUGUUCUACACAAAGGUCAACCUCCGAGCAGUGGAUUGUUGUCAUGCAGCAGCAACACCAGAGGGAACGCAUGAGAUCAGAAGUGUGCAAGCAACACGGAAGACUACACACCCACAGAUUAAAAGCACUUUCAUUUUUCAAACAAUCGGUUUCUAAUUUGGUUUUGUGUACUAAAAACUAUCCUUGACUGAGGUGUUUAGUGGAUAAAUCAUCACGUACAUCAAACAUCCGAUCUGUCUGGAUCAGGAGACUUUAAUCAUCUUUAAAUCACCACAUGAAUUAUUACGUUUCCAUUGUGUGACCGAUCACCUGAUCUUCUGUUUAGUGGCCCUGUUGGGGGAUCAACAUCUGGAUGCUUGGAGGCUCCAGUGGAACUACAAGAUUGAUGUUUUGUUGGUUCGGGGGGAAAUGGCUGCUUGGAGGAGGGUCCCUGAAGUCUAAUUAUUCUUAGUUCUCUGAAUUUCAAUGCAGGCAAGGACGUUGUUUCUUUCCGCUAACACACUGUUAGCAAGGCCUCCAUGGACCCCCCGUGAGAAACCACCUUGCCCCCCAUGCUCUGACCUACGUGGUGGUUCAGCACACCAGGAAGGAUGACGCUUCCCUCCCAGUCUGGUUGUGUUGUAUAUCUUUAGUUCAUGGCGGGACUUUCAAUAUGAGCAGCAAAGAAGCGUAGUUAGGACCCCUGUAGGGGGGCAUCUAUUGCCGGCAGGGCAAAGAGUCGAGAAUGAUUAGUUCGUACCGAGCCACCUUGUGGUUUCCUCAGUGGGCCUUGUGGUCUCCUCAGUUGGCCUUGUGGUCUCCUCAGUGGGCCUUGUGGUCUCCUCAGUGGGCCUUGUGGGCUCCUCAGUUGGCCUUGUGGUCUCCUCAGUGGGCCUUGUGGUCUCCUCAGUUGGCCUCGUGCCGUUUUUGGCUCCAUAGCUCCUUGAUUUAGUUUAGAGCCUUUUUGUGAUUGAUUGUUUGAGGAUUAUUUCCUCUGUGAGAGAGAUUUUGGUUUUGCAUUUGUUAACUAUUCAGCUCCCUUAGUUUAGCCAGAGCUUUCCCCCGUUCAUCUCUCUUCGGAGAAGUUUUUUGUUCCCAGGGAAAUAAAAGCGUCAGCUGAACCUCAACUCUGCGUCCGAGGCCUCCUCAGGAGCUUCCUCCGUGACAGAUUAGGAGCAUUCAUAGUAACUUUUAUUGCAAUAUAGAAAUCUGUAUCCAGGACACUGAUUACUAAAAAACGUAUUUCUCUCCCUCUUCUGGCCCAGUUUGUCCUAAAGUUGAUAGCAUGAGUGUAUUUAACACAAACACGCCGCUGAGUUCAAAGGUGGCGGAAAAAACAUCCAGUUGGCAGAAUGAACUGGAAAACUCGUGCAACAGGCUUCUUUUCAGCAGAGGGGAUCCAAACGCCCCCGACGGACUGAUAGUGAGAAUAGUGAGGUCAUGGGAGGAGGCAUGCUGUGAUACGCACUGAGCAGACCAUUGUUGGAUCAUCGACACUGUGAUGCUGCACAGGGAUAGCAGAGGCUGGAUGGUGUUGGAUUAUAUUUAUGAAUAUGUGAAUAUCUUAUGGAUAGAUCAUGUGACAAUAUGGAUUUAUUUUAUCAGUUGCUCAAAUACUCUUUUUUUUGAUAAAACUUCCUGACAAACCUCAGUCUGUCUUACCGCCAUGCUGCUAAAUGAAUGUGGCGCUGUGGAGUUUUUAUUGUGCUACAAUAGCAGUAAAUUCUCAGCACACAUUUUUCCAGUCAACAUCUGGAACGAUGCCACAGCUCUCAUUAUGGCCCCAAUGCUGCAGCCUUGUUUCAGAGACCUGUUUACGGCUUCUGGGUCGACUUCCCAGGGAGAUUCUUCUGCAUUUCUACUCUACAUAAACUGCUGUUCCAGGUUCAAACUGCACCAUCUUUUAUCAAAUGCAUGUGAGACUUCUUCUCUUUGGUCACGUCACCCAGCCCGACCAGUUGAGAACCACUGUUCACCUCCUGCAUCGUCAGCACCGCCGUGCGUGGAUCAGAUCCUGCGGGUGGUUUCUUUCAUUUCACAUCACAAACAAACCGACGAUCUUUGAUUAUUUGGUCCACACAAAACCAACGACAGUGUCCGUGGAAAGUUCCAGGAUGUCGUCAACACGGCGUGGGCGUGAAAGCAACGUAGAGACCAGACGAUGUUUAAAGGGCGCUGAGCUGAAAUAAGCUGUGGAAACAACAGUGGAACGUUUCCCCGCUAGCUCGCAUGCAUAAACAGUUGCUCAUCAGAUCGACACGUCCACCAUGUGGGGAGCAACGUUAGCGUGAUAAUCUGAGCACAUCCAGUCCCUCUCCUUGGUGGAGAACAGCUCCUGUGAGAAAUGCUCCACUGUGUUCACCGCGUGGUCUCUAGAUGAGUGUCUGCUGGGUGGUGCUGGGCCACCAUCGUCCCCUCGUGAGCCUUCAAAUACAGAAUUGUCACAUGUAGUGACAUGAAGUCCAAGCCCGCACAGUGAAUCAUUUAUGUGCAUUCUGAUGUUACUGAUAUGCUUCAGGUGCUCACCGUACUCUAAAGCAGCUCUUCAUUGCCGUUC
Gasterosteus aculeatus aculeatus (three-spined stickleback) is the source of this 3712-nucleotide long non-coding RNA. Lineage: Eukaryota; Metazoa; Chordata; Actinopteri; Perciformes; Gasterosteidae. The record is from Ensembl.